UUGCGAUUGUGAUUUCAUUGGGUUGAAUAUGAUUUAGUUCAGCUGUUUCACGAGUCGUGAAAUAAAUGGAUUUUCAUACCCGACGCUAAGUAUUUUUGUGUUAAUUAAUAGAAGAGAACAGAAAGUGAAAUGCUUUUGUAUUGACAACGUUUGUAGUUUUUUGGGUUUUGCGAGUUUACAUUAAUCUUCAUUGGUGGUGGUGUAUAACAGGUACAUGCAUCUGCAUGUUUACAGAAUUAUAUACCCACUAAAGAGAUGAUUCAUUUUCAGAUGGUGGAUGCACUUACAGAUCAAAGAAAACACUAACAUGAAGAGGGAGGAGAAGAAACAAGAGUGCUAUAUUAUAUUCUCAUACUGCUUUUUGUUUUUUUUUU
RNAcentral lists this long non-coding RNA (374 nucleotides) under Brassica napus (rape). RNAcentral describes it as "long non-coding RNA (BNAP_LNC023051)". The record is from RNAcentral. Lineage: Eukaryota; Viridiplantae; Streptophyta; Magnoliopsida; Brassicales; Brassicaceae.